CUCCCAGGAAGAAUCCAGAAUAGUUCAGACAAGCUUCAGGUCCGCCAGAACCGGGGAAAACAACGUGUAGGGUUUGUUUUAAAGGGCUUUUAAAUGGGGUUUGGGAGAUCCAGGUAGAUUAGAAUCUUGACUCUGCACUGGCUGUGCAAGACAGAAAUUCACCUUUCAAAACUUCUGUUCCCCAGUCUAUGCGGUAAGAAGUUUAGAUUAGCUGAUUUCUAGGGAGAUUUUGGGCAGGCAUGAUUCAGUUCCAUGAAGGGCUGUGGGACAGGACUGCACUAAGAGGUCCUAUAGAUUGGAUUCUUCAGUUCCCUCCCUUCCGCUGGAGAAUAGAGGAAUCUGCCUUCGCUGCACACUAGAUUUACCUGGAGAACAAAUGGAAAGCAGGCCAGGAUCCUGGGUGAAAUGUGGCACAUUUGAGGAGACUUCAACUUCCCUUGCCCUCCAGGUGUGCACUUGGAAGGGGGAAC
Molecule: long non-coding RNA, 470 nt
Filed under: Homo sapiens (human)
Lineage: Eukaryota; Metazoa; Chordata; Mammalia; Primates; Hominidae
Description: non-protein coding MIR205HG:13
Source: RNAcentral